RNAcentral lists this non-coding RNA (256 nucleotides) under Paenibacillus yonginensis. RNAcentral describes it as "T-box sequence". It matches the Rfam family "T-box leader". Rfam says of the family: Uncharged tRNA acts as the effector for transcription antitermination of genes in the T-box leader family. T-boxes are found upstream of many aminoacyl-tRNA synthetase genes and some amino acid biosynthetic genes usually in Gram-positive bacteria. The record is from RNAcentral. Lineage: Bacteria; Bacillati; Bacillota; Bacilli; Caryophanales; Paenibacillaceae.
UGAAAAGCUGGGAAGGACAACAGUAAAAGGCGGAUAAUCUGCUGCUCAGAGAAACGGUGGUUGGUGCGAACCGGGAAAGCAGGCCCCUUUGAAUUACAGUCUGGAGCUGUCCGGGGGAAAGCAUACAUGCGAGUAGUCCGGUGCCGGGGAACCGUUAUGGAAAUGAAGUGAAAACCGAUGCCGCAGGCAGGAAGUUGGCGUGAAGUCAUCGGUUUUAAUUAGGGUGGUAACGCGAGCGCUCCUUCUCGUCCCUUGG